CAACGAUAUCACAUAUUAAAAACCGGUUCUCGUCCGGUCACUGAAGUUAAGCAACGCCCAGCCUGGUCGGCACCUAGAUGGGUGACCACAUGAGAAUAGCAGGUUCUGUAAG
This is a non-coding RNA of Acanthosepion pharaonis, 112 nucleotides long. The record is from the annotation of a GenBank genome assembly. NCBI's taxonomy places the organism in Eukaryota, Metazoa, Mollusca, Cephalopoda, Sepiida, Sepiidae.